GAGCACGCGCGUGAGUGAUGAAGUUUCGGAUCGUAAAGCUCUGUUGUUAGGGAGACAGUGCCGUCAAAUAGGGCGGCACCUUGACGGUACUAACCAGAAAGCCACGGCUAACUACGUGCCAGCAGCCGCGGUAAUACGUAGGUGGCAAGCGUUGUCCGGAAUUAUUGGGCGUAAAGGGCUCGCAGGCGGUUUCUUAAGUCUGAUGUGAAAGCCCCCGGCUCAACCGGGGAGGGUCAUUGGAAACUGGGGAACUUGAGUGCAGAAGAGGAGAGUGGAAUUCCACGUGUAGCGGUGAAAUGCGUAGAGAUGUGGAGGAACACCAGUGGCGAAGGCGACUCUCUGGUCUGUAACUGACGCUGAGGAGCGAAAGCGUGGGGAGCGAACAGGAUUAGAUACCCUGGUAGUCCACGCCGUAAACGAUGAGUGCUAAGUGUUAGGGGGUUUCCGCCCCUUAGUGCUGCAGCUAACGCAUUAAGCACUCCGCCUGGGGAGUACGGUCGCAAGACUGAAACUCAAAGGAAUUGACGGGGGCCCGCACAAGCGGUGGAGCAUGUGGUUUAAUUCGAAGCAACGCGAAGAACCUUACCAGGUCUUGACAUCCUCUGACAAUCCUAGAGAUAGGACGUCCCCUUCGGGGGCAGAGUGACAGGUGGUGCAUGGUUGUCGUCAGCUCGUGUCGUGAGAUGUUGGGUUAAGUCCCGCAACGAGCGCAACCCUUGAUCUUAGUUGCCAGCAUUCAGUUGGGCACUCUAAGGUGACUGCCGGUGACAAACCGGAGGAAGGUGGGGAUGACGUCAAAUCAUCAUGCCCCUUAUGACCUGGGCUACACACGUGCUACAAUGGACAGAACAAAGGGCAGCGAAACCGCGAGGUUAAGCCAAUCCCACAAAUCUGUUCUCAGUUCGGAUCGCAGUCUGCAACUCGACUGCGUGAAGCUGGAAUCGCUAGUAAUCGCGGAUCAGCAUGCCGCGGUGAAUACGUUCCCGGGCCUUGUACACACCGCCCGUCACACCACGAGAGUUUGUAACACCCGAAGUCGGUGAGGUAACCUUUAUGGAGCCAGCCGCCGAAGGUGACAGAG
This 1081-nucleotide ribosomal RNA is filed under the name Bacillus velezensis. Its description in RNAcentral is "bacterial SSU rRNA". It matches the Rfam family "Bacterial small subunit ribosomal RNA", at positions 389 to 1470 of the family's 1533-position model. The record is from RNAcentral. Lineage: Bacteria; Bacillati; Bacillota; Bacilli; Caryophanales; Bacillaceae.